This 289-nucleotide unclassified non-coding RNA is filed under the name uncultured Helotiales. RNAcentral's name for it is "partial contains 5.8S ribosomal RNA, internal transcribed spacer 2, and large subunit ribosomal RNA". The stretch from base 1 to 102 matches the Rfam family "5.8S ribosomal RNA", at positions 53 to 154 of the family's 154-position model. Lineage: Eukaryota; Fungi; Ascomycota; Leotiomycetes; Helotiales. The record is from RNAcentral.
AUGCGAUACGUAAUGUGAAUUGCAGAGCUCAGUGAAUCAUCGAAUCUUUGAACGCACAUUGCGCCCCUUGGUAUUCCGAGGGGCAUGCCUGUUCGAGCGUCAUUAUCACCCCUCAAGCCUAGCUUGGUGUUGGGGCCCGUCCGUCAGGGCAGCCCUUAAAAUCAGUGGCGGCGCCGUCAGGCUCUAAGCGUAGUAAUACUUCUCGCUAUAGAGUCCUGGCGGUCUCUUGCAAAACCCCUAAUUUUUUAUGAUUGACCUCGGAUCAGGUAGGGUUACCCGCUGAACUUAA